AAUGUAUCAACAUGUUUACUCAACUGUGCAUUUUGUUACUUGUAAUUGGUUCAUUAGUGUUGAUUUCUUUGAAAUCAGGAGGGGAGUGUUCCGGAUAUUGAUCCGGUUUCUUCUCGACUCUUAGUAUGAUAGCGUCUACCGCCAUUUCGUCAUGUAUGUUUUAUUUACCACUUUUCCUCAGAUUUUUGGUGCUUAUAAACCACAGAUUUUGUACCCUCUCAGGAGGUUUGAUCAGUAUUAAAGAUUCAAUCCAGUU
Long non-coding RNA from Ostrea edulis (European flat oyster), 256 nucleotides. RefSeq lists it as uncharacterized. Lineage: Eukaryota; Metazoa; Mollusca; Bivalvia; Ostreida; Ostreidae. The transcript is spliced from 2 exons. The record is from RefSeq and is a predicted model, not a curated record.